Molecule: ribosomal RNA, 492 nt
Filed under: uncultured bacterium
Lineage: Bacteria
Description: partial 16S ribosomal RNA
Rfam family: Bacterial small subunit ribosomal RNA
Source: RNAcentral
AGUGAACGCUGGCGGUAGGCCUAACACAUGCAAGUCGAACGGCAGCACAGUAAGAGCUUGCUCUUACGGGUGGCGAGUGGCGGACGGGUGAGGAAUACAUCGGAAUCUACUUUUUCGUGGGGGAUAACGUAGGGAAACUUACGCUAAUACCGCAUACGACCUACGGGUGAAAGCAGGGGAUCUUCGGACCUUGCGCGAUUGAAUGAGCCGAUGUCGGAGUAGCUAGUUGGCGGGGUAAAGGCCCACCAAGGCGACGAUCCGUAGCUGGUCUGAGAGGAUGAUCAGCCACACUGGAACUGAGACACGGUCCAGACUCCUACGGGAGGCAGCAGUGGGGAAUAUUGGACAAUGGGCGCAAGCCUUAUCCAGCCAUACCGCGUGGGUGAAGAAGGCCUUCGGGUUGUAAAGCCCUUUUGUUGGGAAAGAAAAGCAGCAGGUUAAUACCCCGCUGUUCCGACGGUACCCAAAGAAUAAGCACCGGCUAACUUCGUG